AGAGUUUGAUCAUGGCUCAGAACGAACGCUGGCGGCGUGCUUAACACAUGCAAGUCGCGUGCGCAGUCCGUAGCAAUACGGAUGGGCGCACGGCGCACGGGUGCGUAACACGUGGGCAAUCUGCCCUCUGAUGGGGAAUAACCCGCCGAAAGGCGGGCUAAUUCCGCAUAAGAUUCCCGGGACUUCGGUUCUGGGAUUGAAAGCAGUAAUGCGUCGGAGGAGGAGCCCGCGCCCGAUUAGCUAGUUGGUGAGGUAACGGCUCACCAAGGCAAUGAUCGGUAGCUGGUCUGAGAGGAUGAUCAGCCACACUGGAACUGAGACACGGUCCAGACUCCUACGGGAGGCAGCAGUGGGGAAUCUUGCACAAUGGGCGAAAGCCUGAUGCAGCGACGCCGCGUGGGGGAUGAAGCAUUUCGGUGUGUAAACCCCUUUCGACUGGGAAGAAUACCUCGCAAGAGGGGUGACGGUACCAGUAGAAGAAGCCCCGGCUAACUACGUGCCAGCAGCCGCGGUAAGACGUAGGGGGCCAGCGUUGUUCGGAAUUACUGGGUGUAAAGGGUUCGUAGGCGGUGCGGCAAGUUGGGAGUGAAAUCUCUGGGCUUAACCCAGAGGCUGCUUCCAAAACUGCUGUGCUCGAGUGUGGGAGAGGCGCGUGGAAUUGCAGGUGUAGCGGUGAAAUGCGUAGAUAUCUGCAGGAACACCCGUGGCGAAAGCGGCGCGCUGGACCACUACUGACGCUGAGGAACGAAAGCUAGGGGAGCAAACAGGAUUAGAUACCCCGGUAGUCC
RNAcentral lists this ribosomal RNA (788 nucleotides) under uncultured bacterium. Its description in RNAcentral is "bacterial SSU rRNA". It matches the Rfam family "Bacterial small subunit ribosomal RNA", at positions 8 to 796 of the family's 1533-position model. The record is from RNAcentral.